UUUUAAAGGAUAAUAGCAAUCCAUUGG
RNAcentral lists this transfer RNA (27 nucleotides) under Phymaturus extrilidus. Its description in RNAcentral is "partial tRNA-Leu". Lineage: Eukaryota; Metazoa; Chordata; Lepidosauria; Squamata. The record is from RNAcentral.